This 206-nucleotide long non-coding RNA is filed under the name Vigna radiata. RNAcentral's name for it is "long non-coding RNA (VRAD_LNC005162)". The record is from RNAcentral. Lineage: Eukaryota; Viridiplantae; Streptophyta; Magnoliopsida; Fabales; Fabaceae.
GGAGAUCUCUUCCACCACCGGAUCCAACAAAGAAGUCUUGAGGAGGAAUUUCUUCAGUCUCCAGAUUUGAUCAAGCAGGGAGAUGUCCUCCAUAGAUGGAUCUAAGAAGCAGUGAUCGUUGAUGAGUGGGUUCAGCUGGUGCCUAUUAAUCUUCAAACUGUCGGCACCUUUGUCUUCCACCAUGGGUGUGUGUUGGUCAAAUUCAU